Coregonus clupeaformis (lake whitefish) is the source of this 3520-nucleotide long non-coding RNA. RefSeq lists it as uncharacterized. The transcript is spliced from 4 exons. NCBI's taxonomy places the organism in Eukaryota, Metazoa, Chordata, Actinopteri, Salmoniformes, Salmonidae. The record is from RefSeq and is a predicted model, not a curated record.
UAACAUCUGCUAAACACGUGUAAGUGACAAAUACAAUUUGAUUUGAUUUGAGGGCAUCAUACCCACAGUGCUCAGACUAGUGCUGCAACAACUGGUUCAAGAGAGGCAAAUUACUCUUGCCCAGAUUAACUAUGAGGUUGAGAACUUGUUUUAUGGCAAACAAGAUAUGUCUUCUAAACCUGUGCCACUAUUCGAGAGAGUCCUAAGAAAGAAUGGCCAUCUAUCCGGAAGUGCAUCAGAAAAAUUUACACUUUUCCGUUUACUCCCCCAAAUGAUUGGUAGUCAAAUACAAAAUGCCAGUGCUUGGGAUCUCUACCUCCUGCUUCAAGAGAUAUCUGACAUCAUCUUGGCCCAGUUUUUUUAAGAAGGUCCUAGAUUCCAUAUCUGUCAGAAAAGAUCACUGAUUUUCAAGCUCUCUUCCAGGAGCUGUUUCCAGGGAAGACAAUUCCAAAGAUGCACUACCUCAUCCAUUACCGUAGCCUGCUACUUGCCUAUGGACCUUUGAUCCACCAUGCGAUUUGAAACGAAACACCAAUAUUUCAAGAGGCUCUCAGCAGUUGUGAGAAACAACAUAACGAAGACCUUGGCAAAAAGACAUCAGCUCAGAAAAGGCUGGAAGCAAACCAACAACUGCCUUGACAACACAACAACACACUGUGAGGACAAGAGACGUUCCACUGCAUGCACUUUCAAACUCUGCCCCGUGCAGUAUUAAGUGCCAGAUUCAGAGACUUUUUUUGUCACCAAGACAAAGUCAAUUGCAGUGAACAACGCACAAUACAAUGUAGGAGACUAUCUGGUCAUCGACACUGCUCAUUCAGAAGAGAUCCCUGUGUUCAUGGAAGUGUGUGGAAUUUACAGUUUCCUUGGUGCUUGUGUGGUAAAGUAGUACUAGCAGCCCGUUUCAACAGCCAUCACCACGCAUGCAUGGUUCAACACAGUCAACAGUGGAUUGCUAUAAGGCCUUUUGAGGAGAUUGAUUCCCAUGGUUAGAUGGAUACAGGGAUCCAGAGGGAAGAGUGUCCAUUCCACUCUGCCACUAGAUUGCAAUUAGUGAAAAUCCAUUGAUUUAUUAACUUAGAAAUCACAACACACUUUUGUUUUCACAUUUUCAUAUGCGUUUCCUAUUCUGAUAUGCACUGACCAGAACACUGACAUUUUCUUUUUCUUUAGUAUCUUUUCCCCCACAGAACACCAAAUUGAUGGAGAGACAUUGAUGUCAUUGGAACAAAGAAUGGUGGAGUAACUCGUUCCAAUAAUCAAAGAUCGAAUCAAAUUCACAAAUUUAAUGGAGAAUCUAAAAGCUGUAAGACUGUGUAUGACUUACCUGCAUCAUUGAUUCUAUAACAUUGAUCCUAUUCCAAUUAUUAUUGUUAGUUCCCAGCUGCAGCAAACAGCCCAGCAAAAUUACCCAGCAUCUGUCCAGCAAAAUGACUCAGCAAUUGGCCUUCAGCAUGACAUAUCAACUGGCCAGCAACAGGACACAUCAAUCAGCCAAAGAGUCUGGCCAUCUGUGUUUAGACUUCCAGAAUUUCCAGUUGUAUUAAAAGAAAAUCUGAUCUCCGUCACCCUACUGUGCCCUUGAAGUGGAAGUCUCAGAUUGUGCAGGUGUUGGUCGACUUCAUGUGUACCUACACUUGGUGAGUAUAGUUAUGUAGUAUACUGAUCUUAGCUUAAUGUUAAUGAUAUAAAUUCCUCAAUUAUGAAUCAUAAUGUGUGUGUGUGUGUGUGUCACUCUGAGCCCUUCUCCUGUCUCUGUCCUCCAUAUUCUCCUCCAUACUGUUGUCAUAAUCACUGCAGCUGAUAGCAGAGCACAUACUCAACUUUUACAUGAUGAUAAUCGACGCCAUCAAUCAAUGUCAUUUGUAUUACAAACAAAAUUGUUAGUCUAAAUGUAAUGUUGUAUGUUUCUCGUUUGCUUUACGUAUCCUACUAUCCGGCAAUACAUGGAUGUGUGCACAGCGCUCAUUCAAAAGUACCCCUCAUUGAGAGACCAGACAGGGAAGGGAUAUGUAAGAAUUCCUCAGUUGUCAUACUCACAUUAAUUCACACUAAUAAACUGUUGACACCAUUGUGCCUACACAGACCAUAAUGUGCUGGCUUGGAUAUGUUCUUCUCACAUUGUUAAGCCAUCACAUUUCCAGCAGCAUAACAAGACCAUCUCUAGUCUGCUCCUCUGUCCUCAGUCCCAAUAAUCCGUCAUGACAUUUCUCCACUCCAUUUUGAAUUUUUUAAGGAGUGAUCAAUAAUAAAUACAAAAAAUGUCAGCAGCCGCUUGCUCACGUUGCACAAGUACAGGAAAUGCAAAACCAAACAGAUGACACCAAAAAUGAAGACCCGACCAAAAUAGCCAAGAUUGAGACUGGUGAGGAUUCCUUCAGUCAGAAGUUACAUGUUGAAAAGAUGUAGGUGGAGUGCCAAAAAUAGAGACAGAACAUAAGUUCCCUACAAGACAAAAUGAAAAGGACUGAAAAAGAGAGAACUUUUUAUGAAACAACAAGGCACCAAGGACAUCUUAAAACAGUUCCCAGCACUCCAUUUGUCAGCCAUUAUUUUCUCCGAGAUGAGAAGCAAAUUCGGUAUGGAUGUGGACAGAAACGUAAUUUCCGGAUUUGCCACAAUGGCCGACAAAAUCAAUGCAGAAACGGAGAGGAAGGGUAUGGCCAUGGAGUUGCUGAAUCUCUGGCACUUCUUUCACACACGGAGGUGGCUCACCAAGGUAAUUCUUAUCCAGCCUUUUUAUUACACACCCUCCAAGUUAAGGUCUGAAGAUCACGGCAGCCAUUUUGCUCCUCCAUUACCUCUUCAAAGAAUAUCCAAGUGGGCUGUAUGUCACAGACAGGGUAUGUAUUUCCCAGCAGACAAAUAAAUGAAUGCAAAGUACUGUGUAAGGUGUACUGUGCUCAGUUGUUAACUUACUGUUUGAAAUAUGACUUAAGUAACCUUAUUUGUAAAAAUGUUCCCCCUUCUUACAGUGUGUAAAGUUCCUGUCACCUACCAUAAGACUAGAGGGGAAUCCCUUUGCGGAUGAGAGCCACAUCCAACUCUUCCUGGAUGGAGAGGAGCUACUCACUGAAGAGCCGGAGGACAUCUCCAUGGGAUUGAGAGUGGCAAUGGGGGUCCAUUUCCUUUUUAAUAUUGGACUGCCAAGCUGUCCUCAAUUGGGGGAACCUCUGUCCGGGACAAUGUCCUCAGGAUUAUGGAGCGGUGUGUUUUAUAAAAGGUUGUUUUGAAUAUUACAACAUUUAUUAGGAUUAAGUGAAAUAUGCCCCUGACUGCCGUGGUGGAGGAGGACACAAAGUAUAUGAGCAAGUUGCUCUUUUUUGAAGACAUCUCUAAGCUAAAACUGCCACAAACAUCUUCAACUAGUACCAUGGAAAUACUUUUAGCCAGCUGAUUCCAAAGUUUCUUCAGGAAUGUCCUUUCCUAGUUUUCUUUGAAAAUCUCAAAUUGAUGUUGUAAUGCACUGAUUCUCGUCACUGCAGAUCUGACCCAUCACACCACUCUUACUAAUCAUUAA